This 420-nucleotide long non-coding RNA is filed under the name Physcomitrium patens. RNAcentral's name for it is "long non-coding RNA (PPAT_LNC009183)". Lineage: Eukaryota; Viridiplantae; Streptophyta; Bryopsida; Funariales; Funariaceae. The record is from RNAcentral.
AUAGAUUAUAAUCUCAAAAAAUUGAAAUUUAAGAUUAGUGAAGGAUUUCAUGAUUUGGUAAUAUUUGCUUAUUAAAUUGAAGAAAAAAUUAGUAAGAAUAAUUUAGACUUGAAUACCCACACAUAAUUCAAAUUUUGAAUUAAUUAAAUAAUUUAACAAAAAGAAAUCUUUGUUGAAAGAUCAAUGUUGAAGUCAAAAAAGGAAAGAAGCCAACAAUUGAGAGGUUUUGGGAGCUUUUCUUAUAAUUGAUAUAUGCAAUCUUCUUCAAAUUUUUUGUGCUUAUUAAUUUAGUUGUUGCAAAGCUAAAAAAUUUUAAAUCAAAAUCAAGAGUUCAAGUAUUAGUUAUUAAACUUUCAAUCAAUUGUAAGAUUUAUUAAGAAUUUAUUUAAGAUUUACGAUUUGAUUAAAGAUUGAUUAGUA